RNAcentral lists this ribosomal RNA (465 nucleotides) under uncultured bacterium. Its description in RNAcentral is "partial 16S ribosomal RNA". It matches the Rfam family "Bacterial small subunit ribosomal RNA", at positions 28 to 507 of the family's 1533-position model. The record is from RNAcentral.
GACGAACGCUGGCGGCGUGCUUAACACAUGCAAGUCGUACGGUAAGGCCCUUUCGGGGGUACACGAGUGGCGCACGGGUGAGUAACACGUGAGUAACCUGCCCACAACUUUGGGAUAACGCUAGGAAACUGGUGCUAAUACUGGAUAUGUGCUCCUGCUGCAUGGUGGGGGUUGGAAAGCUCCGGCGGUUGUGGAUGGACUCGCGGCCUAUCAGCUUGUUGGUGGGGUAGUGGCCUACCAAGGCGGCGACGUGUAGCCGGCCUGAGAGGGUGACCGGCCACAUUGGGACCGAGGUACGGCCCAGGCUCCUACGGGAGGCAGCAGGGGGGAAGAUUGCACAAUGGGCGCAAGCCGGAUGCAGCAGGGCCGCGGGCGGGAUGACGGCCUUCGGGUUGAAAACCGCUUUCAGCAGGGACGAAGCUUUUUGUGACGGUACCUGCAGAAGAAGCACCGGCUAACUACGUG